CAUUAUAUAACUUUAAAUGACUUUAGAUGAGAGCUUUUAUAUGCAUCUUAUUUAUACUUAAUUCUUGUUUGACACCUAAAGUGAUCAUUUCUUAACUUAAAACUUUAACUGAUUAUGUUGUGUUUGAGUCAGUCAUACAUGGAGACCAAAGACUUCGCAAGAAGGAUGUGUAUGCUCAGAUUGGAAGUGAAGUUACCUUGUCAUGUGAGAUCUCAAAAGAAACGUCAACACAGAGUUGGAGGAAAGGUUUAACACUUGUAACUCGAGGAAAUGAGAUAAACAGAAAUGUCCGCGGCCGCGGAAGACUUGAAGUUAUCAUUGAUGAAGGGUUUUAUAAUCUAAGAAUACACAACAUAACUGAAUAUGAUUUUAGUACUUACUGGUGUGAGACGCAACAACGCAACUCUAUAAGAGCUGAAGGCACAAAACUAAUUCAUUCAGGUGCAAGUACAGUCAACCCUUAUGAAGAAACUACCACAGACAAGCAAAGAAUGAGCCAACAGAGCACAUUAAGUGGUUCGUCUGAAACAAAAGACAGUACAGACAGGCAAAGAACAAGCUUCCAGAGUACCUUAAGUGAUUCGUCUACAUCUGAAAC
This is a long non-coding RNA of Mytilus californianus (California mussel), 598 nucleotides long. RefSeq lists it as uncharacterized. The transcript has 4 exons. NCBI's taxonomy places the organism in Eukaryota, Metazoa, Mollusca, Bivalvia, Mytilida, Mytilidae. The record is from RefSeq and is a predicted model, not a curated record.